Molecule: unclassified non-coding RNA, 211 nt
Filed under: Hevea brasiliensis (rubber tree)
Lineage: Eukaryota; Viridiplantae; Streptophyta; Magnoliopsida; Malpighiales; Euphorbiaceae
Source: RNAcentral
GUAAAUCUCAAGCAGAAUAGGCAUUGAAGUUAAGAAGCACAUCCAAGAAAUUGGUAUACCAAUGAAUUAUACAAUGGCUCAAAAGUCAUUCAAAUGCAACCUAACCCCACCACCAUACAACACCAUUUCCCCCUAUGCUCCAAAAAGCAAAAAGAAAAUAAUGCUUUUCAUAAAAAAUUUCUAAGUAUUACUCAUCACACCUGCAUCCAUA